Molecule: ribosomal RNA, 337 nt
Filed under: Thelotrema macrosporum
Lineage: Eukaryota; Fungi; Ascomycota; Lecanoromycetes; Ostropales; Graphidaceae
Description: SSU rRNA
Source: RNAcentral
AGCACUUGGAGGAUGUAUAGAGAAAGCAGGUAAAAAGUGAUGUAUCUACUUAUAUUAUUUAUUAAUAUAAGAUUAACUGAGUUAAUUAAAAUUCAAUGUAGAUAUUUGAUUAUGACAGUAUUUGCUUAUGUCUUGACCAAAGCACGUGCCAGCAGUCGCGGUAAGACGUGAAAGACAAGUGUUAUUCAUGUUUAACAGGUUUAAAGGGUACCUAGACGGUUAAUAAAACACUCAUAUGUAUUAAUUAACUAGAGUUUGAUGUGAGAAGGAUUGAGUACGGUGUGUCUAGAGAUAAAAUUUUACGAGACCAUUAUGGAACUGGUAAAGGCGAAGGCAA